Molecule: long non-coding RNA, 1401 nt
Organism: Pelmatolapia mariae (spotted tilapia)
Lineage: Eukaryota; Metazoa; Chordata; Actinopteri; Cichliformes; Cichlidae
Exons: 3
Source: RefSeq, a predicted model, not a curated record
UUGUCAUGCAAAGGGACCAUCAGUAGUAGAGGCCUUGUUUCAGCCUUGGGUGGACUGUGGGGUGGUUGUGUGUCUGGACAUCUUUCACUGGAUCCCCUGGUUUGACGCAGCCAUCUGUACAGAGUCUCAUGCAAAGUACUCUGCAUUUAAGUCUGCACUAGCUGGGGCGCUGCUGCCUUAAAACGGUGAAGACCUCGAGCUGCUUAUAAGGGUCGCCAGAGCAAAGGACCCAGUAACAAUGCAGUCUGGAUCCGAAGUUGUCUUCCUGUACAUUUCCAGGGAGCAGUUAAAACAGCAUGUGUGGAGGGUCACACUGACACCUCGGGAAACAUUUUGGAUCAUCCAUUUGGUUAUUGAGGAGCUGAAAGUUCCAGCUGGGCUGGAUGAGGGUGGAGUGAGUCUCUUCAAAACACCUGGGCUCCCUGUUGAGAUGUGGGCAGCACAGCAGUGACACCUGGAGUGCAUUCAGGACCCAGCAGACACAAACAUGUACAGGGUGGCUACCACAAGAAAAAACAACGUGAAUGUUUCUGAUUACAAAUGUCUGCGUGGAAGCAACAGCCUGGAAGGUUUUCAUGAAUUACUUCCUAACAUGAUUCCAGGUCCUCACUGAUAAGUGGCAUUGCAAGGUGGAAGGAGGAGCUCAGAUGCUGUAUUUGGUGGUAAAUGAUUUACUCUGCAGCGCUGAUCAGUCGCCUCAACACUCGCUGUCAGCAGCUGUUUGGAGAACCUGUAGAAGUAAACAUCUGUGGCCCAGCUGAUCUCACAUUCACUGAAUUAUUCAGACUGGAGUACGUGUUUAGCCAGAGCAGAGGAGACUGUAAUUUUCUCUCUGUAGGACAUCGUCAGUGAUGGACCUGGUCCUGGGGAGGAGGUGGUUCAGCCUGAGCAACCCGAGCCAGAUGAUCCCGGUGAAACAUUGCUGAGUGACGACGAGGCAUGUGACACUGUGCUGGAUGCUGUCCUUCCCCACAUUACACUCACCAGUGAUAACCUCCACAGUUCACCCUCCAGCCUGUGUGAGUAGCUAGGUUUACUUUUCAUAUGAGGGACAAAGUUUGUACAUUAAAGCAAGGAUUAAGAGAUGCACUGCUUGUCUGAAAACAAAUACAAUUGUUUAUAUAUUUACCGACCAAGUUUGUAUGGGAUUCAUUUUACAGGAAGAUGCCUGUAGUACAAAAGCCAUCCUGGAUUUGAAAAGCUGGACAUGUUCUGCUCUGUGUUUGUGGAGAUUAGCCUGAUAGAGGACAAAUUAUCACUUACCACUGAGCAGAGGAACAAGGUCCUUCAGUGUGGAGGGGCAUGACAAGCAGCCACAAUAGUUUAACCAGCUGUACAAGACCCACAGGGACAACACCCUCUACUGCUACACUGACAGGGAUGACCUCGUUGAUGCUGCUC